UCCUCUUCUUGGUGUGCCAUAUAACGGAGGU
RNAcentral lists this non-coding RNA (31 nucleotides) under Rattus norvegicus (Norway rat). Lineage: Eukaryota; Metazoa; Chordata; Mammalia; Rodentia; Muridae. The record is from RNAcentral.